CAUUCUUCAACAGACUGUGCUCCGAAUUUGGGACUGUUUGUUUUAUGAAGGAUCAAAAAUAAUCUUUCGUGUGGCCUUAACAUUAAUUAAGCAACAUCAAGAUUUCAUUUUGGAAGCUACAAAUUUUCCUGAAAUCUGUGAAAAAUUUAAGCAGAUUACUACAGGGUCAUUUGUAACUGAGUGUCACAUAUUCAUGCAGAAAAUAUUUACGGAACCUGGAAGUCUGCGAAUGGCUACAAUAAACAAACUACGAGAUACGUGUAGAGCAAAUCUGAUUACUUCAGUCUAAAUGAACAUUACUUCACUUGCUCAGAUACAAUUUUCUCAGGCUGCCAUUGACACUUCACUAAUUAGCGCCAGCCUUUCAUGUGUUCAGUGGGAUUUUUUUAUUUAAAAAAAGCACAAACACUUUAAUUAUUAUGUAAAUAAAAUGUAAUGUAGAUGUAAUCCCUUUUCAACAAAUGGACUAUAUAUUUUCAGACAUUUUUGUAAUAACAGAAUACAAAACUAUAUAAUAAAGUAUAUUUGAAGCUAUCAUUUUUUGAACUGUAACCAUGUUAAGGCUCUGGACUUUAAGUAGAGAUCCUUGUUUAGAAAACUAGUGCUCUACUUAAUCUCACUUUUUUUUUUUUAAAGAACAGCAUAUCUACCUUUUUCUGUUGUCUGGCUCUGCUAAAUGAGAUUAUUUUAUUUAUAUGCACACACACGCUUACAUUCUGAAUAGUGAACUUUGAUAGAAUCAAAAACACCAGGAGUUACACCUUACAGCAAAUUAAGAAACAAUUUAUGUUUCUACUUUUCUGCAUGUUUAUGUUUCUUUCUACUUUUCUAUAGUGAGCAAAAUGUUUCAUGUGAAGUUUUGUCCUGAAUAAUCUGCUUCAUCCCAGAACUGUCGGUUGUACAAGAGCUGCAAUCUCCUAUGUUACUCCCAUGUGCUGCUAAUGGGAAGUUAUUCUAUCAAGGAAUAACCAAGUUGUUUUUUCUUAAUCAAUCUACUACUUUGUAACAUUUUAACUUGCUGUAGUAUUGUGGGGAAUCUCUAUGGAUAAAACUAUAGCAAACACAAGAGCUCAGGUUCAUGUGUGACAAGGAAAUUCCAUAAACACAGAUCCACUUGUUUAAUGGUAAAUUCCUCCACACACUCCAAAGAAAAAAAUCAAUUAUACAAGGAUCGAAGGAAUAUUAUUUGAAAUACAAAACACGGAUUUAGAUUUUAGGCUUAUAGUUUACAACUAAGAAUCUGAGGUAAUAGAGUUACCCCUCCAAACUUUACAAACAAGCUUAAUUUACUUCAAAAUCAAAGCAGCCUUGUAACUGCUUAAAAGAACACCGAGAACAUACAGAAAAGUCUUUAUUAGCAUUGUUACAGGCAAUGCAUUCAUAACUGAUCCUUGCAGUGUACAGUCCCAGCCAAAGUCAAAGCAAGAAUUAACAGAUUGAAAUUUAUUGUACACAUGUGCAGAAACAGGAUCUCCUUUGAACUUCCAACAAAAGAGACUGAAAUUCACUUUACCAAAAAUAAAGUAACACCCAUUUUCAUGUAAAAAAGGGCCAGCUCCUACUAAGCUGACAGACCAAAAAUAUAUUAAGAGUUAGCCACAUUUUAUUUUCACACUUUGCAUAUACCAAGCUUAGCAUUUAAAGAUUAAUGAUACACACCUAGGUAGAGGCAAAGUGGGAA
Molecule: long non-coding RNA, 1681 nt
Organism: Protobothrops mucrosquamatus (brown spotted pit viper)
Lineage: Eukaryota; Metazoa; Chordata; Lepidosauria; Squamata; Viperidae
Exons: 2
Source: RefSeq, a predicted model, not a curated record